RNAcentral lists this ribosomal RNA (452 nucleotides) under uncultured bacterium. RNAcentral's name for it is "bacterial SSU rRNA". It matches the Rfam family "Bacterial small subunit ribosomal RNA", at positions 29 to 526 of the family's 1533-position model. The record is from RNAcentral.
AACGAACGCUGGCGGCAGGCCUAACACAUGCAAGUCGAACGCUGUAGCAAUACAGAGUGGCAGACGGGUGAGUAACGCGUGGGAACGUGCCCUUUGGUUCGGAAUAACCCAGGGAAACUUGGGCUAAUACCGGAUACGUCCGUAAGGAGAAAGAUUUAUCGCCAAAGGAUCGGCCCGCGUCGGAUUAGCUAGUUGGUGGGGUAAUGGCCCACCAAGGCGACGAUCCGUAGCUGGUCUGAGAGGAUGACCAGCCACACUGGGACUGAGACACGGCCCAGACUCCUACGGGAGGCAGCAGUGAGGAAUAUUGGACAAUGGGCGCAAGCCUGAUCCAGCCAUGCCGCGUGAGUGAAGAAGGCCUUAGGGUUGUAAAGCUCUUUCAGCGGAGAAGAUAAUGACGGUAUCCGCAGAAGAAGCCCCGGCUAACUCCGUGCCAGCCGCCGCGGUAAAAC